CAAUAGCGUAUAUUAAAGUUGUUGCAGUUAGAACGCUCGUAGUCGGAUUUCGGGGCGUUCCGACCGGUCUGCCGAUGGGUAUGCACUGGCCGGAGUGUCCUUUUUGCCGGAGACUGUGCCUACUCUUAACUGAGCGGGGGCGGGAGACGGCACUUUUACUUUGAAAAAAUCAGAGUGUUUCAAGCAGGCAGCUCGCUCUUGCAUGGAUUAGCAUGGGAUAAUGAAAUAGGACUUUGGUGCUAUUUUGUUGGUUUCGAACACCGAAGUAAUGAUGAGAAGGGACAGUCAGGGGCACUCGUAUUCCGCAGAGAGAGGUGAAAUUCUCAGACCCGCGGAAGACGAACCACUGCGAAAGCAUUUGCCAGGGAUGUUUUCACUG
RNAcentral lists this ribosomal RNA (379 nucleotides) under uncultured eukaryote. RNAcentral describes it as "partial 18S ribosomal RNA". It matches the Rfam family "Eukaryotic small subunit ribosomal RNA", at positions 592 to 975 of the family's 1831-position model. The record is from RNAcentral.